GACAAACGCUGGCGGCGUGCUUAACACAUGCAAGUCGAACGGAAAGGCCCCCAUCUUGGAGGGGGUGCUCGAGUGGCGAACGGGUGAGUAACACGUGGGUGAUCUGCCCUGUACUUCGGGGUAAGCUUGGGAAACUGGGUCUAAUACCGGAUAGGACCAUGGUUUAGUGUCUCAUGGUGGAAAGAUUAUUGUUUUGGUGCAGGAUGAGCUCGCGGCCUAUCAGCUUGUUGGUGGGGUAAUGGCCUACCAAGGCGUCGACGGGUAGCCGGCCUGAGAGGGUGGACGGCCACAUUGGGACUGAGAUACGGCCCAGACUCCUACGGGAGGCAGCAGUGGGGAAUAUUGCACAAUGGGCGCAAGCCUGAUGCAGCGACGCCGCGUGGGGGAUGACGGCCUUCGGGUUGUAAACUCCUUUCGUUAGGGACGAAGCCGCACUUUUUUGGGGUGUGGUGACGGUACCUUUGUGAAGAAGCACCGGCUAACUACGUG
RNAcentral lists this ribosomal RNA (489 nucleotides) under uncultured bacterium. RNAcentral's name for it is "partial 16S ribosomal RNA". It matches the Rfam family "Bacterial small subunit ribosomal RNA", at positions 28 to 507 of the family's 1533-position model. The record is from RNAcentral.